AUACGUAGGUGACAAGCGUUAUCCGGAUUUACUGGGCGUAAAGGGCGUGUAGGCGGUCUUGCAAGUCAGAAGUGAAAUUCCUGAGCUCAACUCGGGCGCUGCUUCUGAAACUGCAGGACUUGAGUGCUGGAGGGCAGGAGAGGUAAGCGGAAUUCCUAGUGUAGAGGUGAAAUGCGUAGAUAUUAGGAGGAACACCGGCGGCGAAGGCGGCUUACUGGACUGUAACUGACGUUGAGGCUCGAAAGCGUGGGGAGCAAACAGGAUUAGAUACCCUGGUAGUCCACGCCGUAAACGAUGAUUACUAGGUGUUGGUUGUCAUAGACAAUCGGUGCCGCAGCAAACGCAAUAAGUAAUCCACCUGGGGAGUACGUUCGCAAGAAUGAAACUCAAAGGAAUUGACGGGG
Molecule: ribosomal RNA, 404 nt
Filed under: uncultured bacterium
Lineage: Bacteria
Description: partial 16S ribosomal RNA
Rfam family: Bacterial small subunit ribosomal RNA
Source: RNAcentral